UGAACACCUUGAGGCCUUUUAAAGGAGGAUUGCUACAGAGGCUUUGUGGUGGCACUGCCAAUAGGGUCAGUACCUGCUGAAGGUUGCUCAAAGCUGUGAUAGGAAAGCAGCUGGACAACAUCUACCUGCUACAAAAGUAGUGGAUCCCUGCCCUCAAAAAGGCUCCUUCAGAUCAAUCACAUUAAUAGAGGCAUUUAGACUGUCUCUACAACACUAGCUGGCACCUCAUGUAUUGUCUGGUGUAUGACUGAUGAAGGGAAAUAGUUCCUCCUUAUAUUAUUCACAAAUAAAUAAAAUGAUAUGCAACACAAAAUCACAAAUGUCACGUCUAAACAUCCCCUCAUUACUACUUCUGCAUUACCUGCUCCCAGAGCGUGCAAUGUUGGGAAUGGAAGAGAGCUUAACGGAGCUGCGAGGGAGCUGCAGGACACGGGCCGAGGACAAGUUGCCGAGCCCAGGUGUGCUGGGCUGCACUGCAUCUCACUCCUCUCUGAUUCUUCAUUAACAGCCGCGGCCGAGCCGGGCAGCCUCAGCCCUCGCCCGGCGAUUUCCCAAGAG
Long non-coding RNA from Lagopus muta (rock ptarmigan), 558 nucleotides. RefSeq lists it as uncharacterized. The transcript is spliced from 3 exons. NCBI's taxonomy places the organism in Eukaryota, Metazoa, Chordata, Aves, Galliformes, Phasianidae. The record is from RefSeq and is a predicted model, not a curated record.